GACGAACCGAGCGAACGUUGUUCGGAAUCACUGGGCUUAAAGGGCGCGUAGGCGGGCCGCCAAGUUCGAGGUGAAAUCCUCCGGCUCAACCGGAGAACUGCCUCGAAUACUGGAGGCCUCGAGGCGGGUAGGGGCACGCGGAACUGUGGGUGGAGCGGUGAAAUGCGUUGAUAUCCACAGGAACGCCGGUGGCGAAGGCGGCGUGCUGGACCCGAUCUGACGCUGAGGCGCGAAAGCUAGGGGAGCAAACGGG
This 253-nucleotide ribosomal RNA is filed under the name uncultured bacterium. RNAcentral describes it as "partial 16S ribosomal RNA". It matches the Rfam family "Bacterial small subunit ribosomal RNA", at positions 524 to 776 of the family's 1533-position model. The record is from RNAcentral.